CCUACGGGUGGCUGCAGUGGGGAAUAUUGCACAAUGGGGGAAACCCUGAUGCAGCGACGCCGCGUGAAGGAAGAAGUAUUUCGGUAUGUAAACUUCUAUCAGCAGGGAAGAAAAUGACGGUACCUGACUAAGAGGCCCCGGCUAACUACGUGCCAGCAGCCGCGGUAAUACGUAGGGGGCAAGCGUUAUCAGGAUGUACUGGGUGUAAAGGGAGCGUAGACGGCAGCGCAAGUCUGGAGUGAAAUGCGGGGGCCCAACCCCGGAACUGCUCUGGAAACUGUGAAGCUGGAGUGCAGGAGAGGUAAGCGGAAUUCCUGGUGUAGCGGUGAAAGGCGUAGAUAUCAGGAGGAACACCGGCGGCGAAGGCGGCUUACUGGACUGUAACUGACGUUGAGGCUCGAAGGCGUGGGGAGCAAACAGGAUUAGAUACCCGAGUAGUC
RNAcentral lists this ribosomal RNA (440 nucleotides) under uncultured bacterium. Its description in RNAcentral is "partial 16S ribosomal RNA". It matches the Rfam family "Bacterial small subunit ribosomal RNA", at positions 338 to 795 of the family's 1533-position model. The record is from RNAcentral.